AUCAAAUAAUGCUCAUCUAAACGAUGCAGAUAUGCACGAGUAAUCCUCGGAGUAACCACAUACAGAAUUAUUCCAUAUGGACUUGGAUCACUUUUCCAUUGAACCAAGCGAAUACGAGUUUUAUUUUAUCUAACAAACUUGCUACAAAUUAUUUUUCUUUGUUUUGUCUGUUAAUCAGUUAAUGUCUAUACAUAUAACUAUUGAUAAAAACUUCUUACGA
This is a long non-coding RNA of Sitophilus oryzae (rice weevil), 220 nucleotides long. RefSeq lists it as uncharacterized. The transcript has 2 exons. Lineage: Eukaryota; Metazoa; Arthropoda; Insecta; Coleoptera; Curculionidae. The record is from RefSeq and is a predicted model, not a curated record.